AUGCAUGUCUCAGCGUACAUGGCCUCAACAGUGGAUCUGUGAAUGGCUCCUUACAUCAGCAGUCAUCUCUGUGAUAGAGUGUGGAUGGCAUCACCCUGCCCAGAUGCCCAGCUGGACAUCCUCCAAAACCUAGUGGCUAAUACACGGUUGCAACAGUCUGCCUCACCAAGUCGCCCUGUUAACUGGAGCCUCAGCCCCAAGUGGCAGAGCCAGUGGUGGAUUGCACCCAGCUGUUGGCAAGACCAGCACCUGUAACAGGGUAGUGUGUGAAGGCUGACUCAGGCUGGUCCCUGUGCUCUCUUGGGUUUGUGGACAGCUGCGCUGGCAGAGUGGUGGCCCAUGGCCACAGCAUUGCUUGAUCACACGAGCUUCUGACCUAUCAGCCUGGACUGUGGUGUCUUGGACCACAGUGGCAGUGACGGGUGACAGAGAAUCAGGGUUCGGUUCUGGAGAGGGAGCCUGAGAGAUGGCUACCACUACCAAGGUGGGCAGCAGGCGCGCAAAUUGCCCAAUGCCGAAGCACUCCUGGUGAGGCAGCAACGAACUGCAGCAAUCCUGCCUGUCCUUGUGACCAGUGGGACUUGGAAUGGAUGCAAUCCAAACACAGUGAUGAGUAUCAACUGGAGGGCAAGUCUGGUGCCAGCAGCCGCGGUAAUUCCAGCUCCAUGAGUGUACACUAACACUGCUGCUGUUAAAACACUUGUAGUCGGAUGCUGGGUGCAGGUCUGCCAGGUGGCUGUUGCACUGUUUGUGUGGCUGUGGGCCCCAGUGGUCUGUGGCUGUGCCUGUGCAAUGGACCUCAACCCCUGGCAGUAAGCUCCUGCACCCCAUGGCAAUGAUGGUGAGAUGCUGCCCCUGCUCCAAGUCUCCUUCAGUGGGGAUCGCUGCUGUUGUGCAUGCCCAACGCUCAUGUCUGGCUCUCAGGGUCAGAGCCUCUGUGCUCUGCAAGUCCCUAGCCCACAACCGGGGUCCACCAUCGCAGUCACUGUGGAGAACUCAGUGUGCCUCAAGCAGCCAGUCCUGGCUGGAUGCUCGUCCAUGGAAUGACAAAGCAUUGACCUGAUGUGGCCUGUGGAGUUGUGCUGGCCUUGGUGCUCAUUCAGGGGAACUUGGUGCAGUGGCCUCUCCAUGGCCAGGCGGGCUAAGUGGCUGCACACACCAGUGUGGCCUACUGGCCUGAUACUGGCCUGGGUUGGUUGGCUGUGCCUCUCAGCCAUGAUGGGACUGCUCGUGGUGAAGGGUACUGCAGCGCCAGUGGUGAAAUACUUAGACCGCUGCAAGACCAACUGCAGCGAAGGCGCUCUGCAAGUGCAUGUUCGUCGAUCAAGAAUGAGAGUGUGGGGAGCGAAGAUGAUCAGACACCGUCGUAGUCCACCACUGUAAACCAUGCCAGCUCAGUGUUGAAGGUGCAAGUCUCUGCUGACUCCUCCAGCGCUAUGCCCCCAGCAACGAGAAAUCCAAGCCUUUGGGUUCAGGGGGAAGUACUGUCGCAAGGCUGAAACUUAAAGGAAUUGACGGAAUGGCACCACCAGGCGUGGAGUGUGCGGCUUAAUUUGACUCAACACGGGGAAGCUUACCAGGCCAGGACGUUGCUGGGAUGGACAGACUGAGAGCUCUUUCUUGAUCCUUCGGCUGGUGGUGCAUGGCCGCUCCUGAUUGGUGGGGUGACUUGUCUGGUUGAUUCCGAUAACGAGUGAGAUCUCUGCCUCCCAGUAGCCCCAGCCCUGCACUUGGUAGAGUGGGUGCCUGUGUCUGGCCUGCUGUUGGCUGGUGCCCUCGUGGUGCUGGCCUCUGCAGGGCUGCCAGGUUUGUCCCCUCGAAGGGCGUGGGUUCAGCUUCUCUGAGGUGCUGUGUGUGCUGCCAAACACAUGCAUGCUAGAGCCAACAGCAGGUCUGUGAUGCUCCCAGAUGCCCUGGGCUGCACGCGCACUACAUUGAGCUUGUGAGUGAGUGCUGCACAUCUCUAUUCUGCCUGUGUGCCCUGAGUGGAAGUGCUUGGGAAACCCUGUGAGCCCAGCUCGUACUGGGGAUAGAUGCUUGCAACUGUCUGCCUUGAACGAGGAAUGCCUAGUAAGCUCCAGUCAUCAGCUGGAACUGAUUAAGUCCCUGCCAUUUGUACACACCGCCCGUCGUUGCUACCGAUGGCUGCAGGAUAGAGCCCCUAGGAGGCUCCAGUCCCACUCCUCUCGCAGGGUGGACUGGGCCAAAUCCUGGCCAAUGUCCUGCUGCUAGAGGAAGCAAAA
This 2243-nucleotide ribosomal RNA is filed under the name Phacus tortus. RNAcentral's name for it is "bacterial SSU rRNA". It matches the Rfam family "Eukaryotic small subunit ribosomal RNA". Lineage: Eukaryota; Euglenozoa; Euglenophyceae; Euglenales; Phacaceae. The record is from RNAcentral.